AGGGAAACCUUUACCUCAUGUCUUCAUUCUUUACCUCAUAUCUUCAGGCACUUCUCCAUGUCUUUUCUUUUUGGCUUUCUGAUCCCGUGUUCCCUUCUUUGAGUCUUUUCAUGAAGACUGGCCUUGGAUAUAGUAAGGAAUCGGGUCUACAAGACAUGAGAAGCAGGCCAGUAAACACUACUCCUCUUUCAAGACUUCUGCAUCAACUCCUGACACCAAGUCCUCAUGACAUUCUUCAUGAUGAACAGUGACGCUGACUGUAAGCCAAAUAAACGUUUUCCUUCCCCUGUAGCUUUGUUCAUAGUGUUACGUUACCGCAAUAGUAACUAUAACUAACAUGAACAUACUCUCUUUUCUACCCUCUCCUUUAUUAUUCUACGCCCAAAAUAAAAGUCCACAUUCAUUCCACUUGAGUCCUUCUUCUGUACCCCAGAAUCCUGCCCUGGAAAUUUAAGACACUGAUGAGGCUCUUAUCUUAUCACUGACCCCUGCCUGUCCCCAGCUGGCCUAUUUUAUUAUUCAGUUUCCAUAAUCACACACAGCUGUGUGUAUGUCUGUUCUUUAGGCAAAGGCUCCAUUCAAAGGGCAUGGUUUCUGAGCCAGUCUACUCACUGCAGAGCAAAGUAUGAGUGUAAGCCAUGGACACAUGCAGAGAAACCUCUGUUAUGAAAAAAAUAUUAUGCAAUAUUUGUUUUUCUCUCCUACUUCAUUACUCAGCCUUAGGCCAGAGAGAAGCUUAAAGGAUGCAGGUUGGUCAAGAACUUUAUGAAAGCUGAGAGCACACAUUGCAAUCACAAAAUGUUCAAGGCUCACAAAGCUUGCAUAAUUACACCGUCUGCUUGGGCCUUCCGGCACUUUUCAGCUAUAAUGGCAAUCUGGCUAAUUUCCCACUGGCUCAAUCUAUAACUUCAAAGGCUCCUAACGCAGUUACAAUUAUUCUGUGUGUUUUUCAGGUGACCUACACUAUUCGUAUUGAACAGCUAACUUCUCACAUGGGUGAAUAAGAAAAGUUCGAGUUUAAUAAAGAUUUUCUCACCCAAAAA
Rattus norvegicus (Norway rat) is the source of this 1043-nucleotide non-coding RNA. The record is from RefSeq and is a predicted model, not a curated record. Lineage: Eukaryota; Metazoa; Chordata; Mammalia; Rodentia; Muridae.